Molecule: long non-coding RNA, 250 nt
Organism: Eurytemora carolleeae
Lineage: Eukaryota; Metazoa; Arthropoda; Copepoda; Calanoida; Temoridae
Exons: 3
Source: RefSeq, a predicted model, not a curated record
AAUCCUUUUCUCUAUGACUAGGGCCUGAUUGGUUGAUGCGUAUUGAAUAUAAACAAUUAGAAAAAUUAUAAAUGACGGAAUAAUUGUAAUUCCAGAUGGAUAACCUGGUGACAUUUGGGUCUCUACUUCUUCUCUUUCUUAUCACAGGAUGUUUUGGAGAGUUUCGUUCCUUCAGUUUUGAAAGCAGGGAAGGAUGAUGGAACGUGUGAGAUGGCUUUUGUGGAUAAUUUAACCCCAAAUACUUCACCAC